GACGAACGCUGGCGGCGUGCUUAACACAUGCAAGUCGAACGGAAAGGCCUCUUUCGGGUGGUACUCGAGUGGCGAACGGGUGAGUAACACGUGAGUAACCUGCCCUUGACUUUGGGAUAACUUCAGGAAACUGGGGCUAAUACCGGAUAGGAGCUCCUGCUGCAUGGUGGGGGUUGGAAAGUUUCGGCGGUUGGGGAUGGACUCGCGGCUUAUCAGCUUGUUGGUGGGGUAGUGGCUUACCAAGGCUUUGACGGGUAGCCGGCCUGAGAGGGUGACCGGCCACAUUGGGACUGAGAUACGGCCCAGACUCCUACGGGAGGCAGCAGUGGGGAAUAUUGCACAAUGGGUGGAAGCCUGAUGCAGCAACGCCGUGUGCGGGAUGACGGCCUUCGGGUUGUAAACCGCUUUCGCUCAUGACGAAGCUUUGUGUGACGGUAGUGGGUAAAGAAGCACCGGCUAACUACGUG
Molecule: ribosomal RNA, 467 nt
Filed under: uncultured bacterium
Lineage: Bacteria
Description: partial 16S ribosomal RNA
Rfam family: Bacterial small subunit ribosomal RNA
Source: RNAcentral